UUAUUCACUUUUGUAAAUAUUAAUAUAUGCAUCUUUAUCAUGUUGUUAAAUUGUCGUCUUAUGCCCAUUCGCGGUAUGUGCAGUGAUAAACCCAGUGUGGUGAACAGCUGUCACUGCUGGAACAUGCUUAAUCAUUGCAAAUGGAAAGAAAAGGUUUCUGCAUUAACAGGAAUCGAACUAGUUGAAUGAUGUUUCUGCUACCAUCAUACCCUUUUCUAUCAACCCAUGCAGAAUACAACGGGAAUGGACAGUUCAUGAGGUUUAGGCAGGGUGAAGUGGCAGAGAGUGGUAGAUGAAACACAGGAGAAAAAGAAGUGCAAGAAAGAAAAGAAGGAGGACAGCAACAGAAAGAGGAAUCGUGACGAAUGAUAUAUUCUAGUGUUAAGAUGUCACUGUGAUCAUCUCAGCUCCAUAUUUGUUAUUCAUGGUUCCUUGUUAUGUUCCAUAAUUUUAUGUAAUAUUCACACACACACACACAAUCCCUAUUUCUUCCAUUUCUGUCAGUCUUCAUUUUCAACGUUUCUUAUUUCUGUUGCUUGUUAUAUACCUGAUGCCAUGUUUUCUGUGUCUUCUACAUUUGUGCCUGUCUAGAGCAGUCCAGUUCCUUAUUUUAUUUUGCUGUUUUAAACUGAUGUUGAAGAAGUCUGCUCUACAGUAGGCCUGUUACCGUUUAUAAUUCUAUUGUAUUGACUACAUAUCUCCAUAUAAUCCCAUCUUUCAAUCUGUAAAGUACUAAAUGGAAAGAUGCCAUAACAUUCUUCUCUAAUAAUAUAAAUUAAAACUGAUGGUUUUAUAUGGAAUCAGUAGCAAGCCUUAAUAGAGAGUGACUAUAUAUCCAACUUUUUUAAGGGUGAUAAAAAUCCAUAGCACAACUUCCUUCGGAGGGGAAAUAAUGCCAGUGGUCCCAUGUCGUAGAUUUACCUUACAAGCAUGAACGAGAUGUUUCAUGAGCACUGUGGCAUUAUCGACAUCCCAAAAUCUGACUACCCAGAAAGAUGAAAAAAUUAAUUUCUAAGAUACAAGCACACUUAGGACAGUUCCCACUUUCCUACAUCAGGUUUAUGGCCCUGACAAAAGUAGGAGUAACCUACAACAAAACAUGGUGGACUCUGAAUCAAUUUAUAGAGGGCUUGAUAUAAUAUUUCCCAUACAAAUAUUUUUCUUUGUUGAGGGUGGAACUAGAAAAUUCACAAUGCAUGUCUUUGGUCUCAAACUUCAAUCCAUUAGCAUGAGAAGCCAGUAUAUAUAUAUAUGUCACCAGGUCCACCCUUAUGUCAAAGCAUACUAUUUCACUGUAUUUACUUAUAUCCUCGCAUAUUUUUUUGUACAUCCAUGCUCUCUGACAGAGUCAAAACUUUGUGACUGUGGAAUUCCAGGAUCUGACCAUGUUUAGGGGUCUGCAUAAAGCUGCAGAUCCCUCUGCCAGUCAUCAUCUAAAUUUUCACUCUAUUAUUAAAUUUAACAAAACACUGCCAAAUGGUCACUUCUAACAUAGACCUCACAAGUGAAUUCCGACAUUCUUGUCAGCUGAGGGCAAAGGACAGAAAAGUUAAAAGACAGUUAACCAUCGCCAUCCAUGUAUCAGGAUUAAGCACUAUUCAUCUGACUGUGCGUCACACAGUGCUACCACACCACUGAAUCAUUAAUACCAGAAUUAAAGUCUGAGAGGCAGCCCUAGUAUGAUGAAGGUUAACUGGCGACAUUUGAAACAAGAUUAGAAAAGUGUAUACUAUAGAGUACAAAAACAUUCCAUACGAUUUCUGAUGGGUGUGUUAUAAAAUAGUUGAAAAGCUACUGAUAGAUUUUAGCAACAUGGAUAGUUCAUAUAGCCAGUGAUAAAUACCAGCAAGAUAAACUGAUUGACAUGAUACAGGUGUCUAGGGAUAGUUCACAUGACCACUGAUAGAUGGCAGCAUUAGCAGUUCAAAAUAAUGAUGACAGAUGACAGCACCUUUACUUCACACAGCAAUAGAAAAUCUGUCAGCUGUUUUCAAGUUGUUUUUCAGAAAGGAUAGUCAAAUGAUCUCUGAUGGAUGUGCAACAUGAUCUUGGCUGAGAGAUGUAACAGGCAGGCAGACACAAUGUGCCCAUAAGCAUAGGAAUCAAGCCAGCCAAGACCGACAAGAACUAUGACAGAUUCUGAAAAGUGAAAUCUUUCUUUGAUAUGGUCAGUGACACCUAUGAUAAAAUUUACAUUCCAUCUGAACAUUUAGCUGUAGGUGAAGUAAUUGUGCUGUUCAAAGGGAGUUGUUUUCAAGCAAGUCAGUCCUAAGGAACAAAAUGUUUUUAUAUAAAGGUCUACAAAUGUUGUGAUACGACAUGGAGAUCAACUGGAAAAUUCAAUACAGAUAACAAGAGUGACAUAUUUGGAAGUGAAAAUUGUCACUAGGAGAGUGGAAGUGGUUGGCCAUAAAUUUUACACAGACAAUUCUUUCUCCUCCCUGGAUGUAUCUGAUGACCUCAGCACAACAGUUUUUAACAAAAAUGGAAAUGUUAGAUAAAACUGUAAAGAAUUCCAGGGGACUGACUAUGACAGUAAGACACUAAGAUUGAAAAUGUCUAACAUACAUGAUAAGUUGAGAGGUGUCUUGAGAAUAAUGAUUUGCAAUGACAGGUGAAAUGUGUGUAUACUGACAGACGUCCAUAAACCACCAGCAGAAGGCAACUUCUAUGAAUGCAUGACAGCUCCUUUUACUCUGUCAAUGAAUUUAUGUUGUUUACAAAUAAGUGAUAAAUUUUCUUCCGUGUGUAAUGGAUAGAUCUAUUUGUAACUUAUCAUUUCUCUAGGUGAACCCUUUGUUUGUA
Molecule: non-coding RNA, 2805 nt
Organism: Zootermopsis nevadensis
Lineage: Eukaryota; Metazoa; Arthropoda; Insecta; Blattodea; Termopsidae
Source: RefSeq, a predicted model, not a curated record